AUUUAAAUAGCUUAUAUAUGUGUAGAGCAUAACAUUGAAGGUGUUAAGGAGAUAACAUUAUCUUUAAAUA
RNAcentral lists this transfer RNA (70 nucleotides) under unidentified. RNAcentral's name for it is "Cirrothauma sp. FMNH 309245 tRNA-Phe". The record is from RNAcentral.